RNAcentral lists this long non-coding RNA (264 nucleotides) under Elaeis guineensis (African oil palm). RNAcentral describes it as "long non-coding RNA (EGUI_LNC009026)". The record is from RNAcentral. Lineage: Eukaryota; Viridiplantae; Streptophyta; Magnoliopsida; Arecales; Arecaceae.
GGUGCCAACUAGUAUAAUCAGUAAAAUCAUUGGAUUAUGACAUGCAAUGACGUGGGUUCAAAUCCCACCCAUAGCCAGUGGCUGGUGAAGAAUAACCCUCUCUCUUUUCUUUUUAACACACGAGAAAAAUCUUAAUUUCUGAAGCUUAAUUCAGUCAUUUUGGUAUGGUAUAUUAUAGUAAAUAUUAAUUAGAAUUCAUUCUUUGGGUUGGCUCUAGGAUUUGUCUGAGUCUAGCCAUGCCCAGCUUUAAUCAAAUUCUACCCA